AAAUAGAUACCCGGUAGUCCACGCCGUAAACUAUGGAUACUAGGCGUUCGGAGUGUUAACCCUCUGAGUGCCGCAGUUCACGCAUUAAGUAUCCCGCCUGGGGAGUACGGUCGCAAGGCUAAAACUCAAAGGAAUUGACGGGGGCCCGCACAAGCGGUGGAGUAUGUGGUUUAAUUCGAAGCAACGCGCAGAACCUUACCUAGGCUUGACAUCCUGUGAUCGCUGCAGAAAUGUAGUUUUCUCUUCGGAGACACAGAGACAGGUGCUGCAUGGCUGUCGUCAGCUCGUGUUGUGAAAUGUUCGGUUAAGUCCGGCAACGAGCGCAACCCCUAUCUAUAGUUGCCAGCAUUAAGUUGGGGACUCUGUAGAGACUGCCAGUGUUAAACUGGAGGAAGGCGGGGAUGACGUCAAGUCCUCAUGGCCCUUACGCCUAGGGCUACACACGUACUACAAUGGCAAAGCAAAGCGAAGCGAAACCGCGAGGUGAAGCCAAUCGCAAAAACAUUGUCUCAGUCCGGA
This 519-nucleotide ribosomal RNA is filed under the name uncultured bacterium. RNAcentral's name for it is "bacterial SSU rRNA". It matches the Rfam family "Bacterial small subunit ribosomal RNA", at positions 776 to 1297 of the family's 1533-position model. The record is from RNAcentral.